Molecule: ribosomal RNA, 224 nt
Filed under: uncultured bacterium
Lineage: Bacteria
Description: partial 16S ribosomal RNA
Rfam family: Bacterial small subunit ribosomal RNA
Source: RNAcentral
GAUCCUGGCUCAGGAUGAACGCUAGCUACAGGCUUAACACAUGCAAGUCGAGGGGCAGCAUGGUCUUAGCUUGCUAAGGCCGAUGGCGACCGGCGCACGGGUGAGUAACACGUAUCCAACCUGCCGUCUGCUCUUGGACAGCCUUCUGAAAGGAAGAUUAAUACAAGAUGGCAUCAUGAGUUCACAUGUUCACAUGAUUAAAGGUAUUCUGGUAGACGAUGGGG